RNAcentral lists this ribosomal RNA (381 nucleotides) under uncultured archaeon. RNAcentral's name for it is "bacterial SSU rRNA". It matches the Rfam family "Archaeal small subunit ribosomal RNA", at positions 473 to 853 of the family's 1478-position model. The record is from RNAcentral.
AUACCGGCGGCUCGAGUGGUGGCCACUUUUAUUGGGCUUAAAGCGUUCGUAGCUGGGUUGUUAAGUCUCUUGGGAAAUCCGGCGGCUCAACCGUCGGGCGUCUGAGGGAUACUGGCAAUCUUGGAACCGGGAGAGGUGAGGGGUACUUCGGGGGUAGGAGUGAAAUCCUGUAAUCCUUGAGGGACCACCUGUGGCGAAGGCGCCUCACCAGAACGGCUUCGACAGUGAGGGACGAAAGCUGGGGGAGCAAACCGGAUUAGAUACCCGGGUAGUCCCAGCCGUAAACGAUGCGCGUUAGGUGUAUCGGUGACCACGAGUCACCGAGGUGCCGAAGGGAAACCGUGAAACGUGCCGCCUGGGAAGUACGGUCGCAAGGCUGAA